This 849-nucleotide ribosomal RNA is filed under the name uncultured Fibrobacter sp. RNAcentral's name for it is "bacterial SSU rRNA". It matches the Rfam family "Bacterial small subunit ribosomal RNA", at positions 163 to 1014 of the family's 1533-position model. Lineage: Bacteria; Pseudomonadati; Fibrobacterota; Fibrobacteria; Fibrobacterales; Fibrobacteraceae. The record is from RNAcentral.
UUAAUGUCCAGGAGAGUGGCCCUCCGCAUGGAGGGUUGACUAGAGAUUUAUCGGUAUGGGAUGAGCUUGCGUCCGAUUAGCUAGUUGGCGGGGCAACGGCCCACCAAGGCGACGAUCGGUAGCCGGCCUGAGAGGGUGAUCGGCCACAUUGGGACUGAGAUACGGCCCAGACUCCUACGGGAGGCAGCAGUAGGGAAUAUUGCACAAUGGGGGAAACCCUGAUGCAGCAACGCCACGUGUGGGAAGAAGCAUUUCGGUGUGUAAACCACUGUCAUGAGGGAAUAAGGCCCGCCUCCGGGCGGGAUUGAAUGUACCUUGAGAGGAAGCACCGGCAAACUUCGUGCCAGCAGCCGCGGUAAUACGAGGGGUGCAAGCGUUGUUCGGAAUUACUGGGCGUAAAGGGAGCGUAGGCGGAGAUUCAAGCGGAUUGUACAAUCCCGGGGCCCAACCCCGGUUCUGCAGUCCGAACUGGAUCUCUUGGAUAGUUCAGGGGCAGGCGGAAUUCCUGGUGUAGCGGUGGAAUGCGUAGAGAUCAGGAAGAACACCGAUGGCGAAGGCAGCCCGCUGGGGACUUAUCGACGCUGAGGCUCGAAAGUGCGGGUAGCAAACAGGAUUAGAUACCCUGUUAGUCCGCACCGUAAACAAUGCAUACUGGGUGUCCGGGGGUUCCCCCGGGUACCGUAGCCAACGCGUUAAGUAUGCCGCCUGGGGAGUACGUACGCAAGUAUGAAACUCAAAGGAAUUGACGGGGGCCCGCACAAGCGGUGGAGCAUGUGGGUUUAAUUCGAAGCAACGCGCAGAACCUUACCAGGGGUUUGACAUGGGGAACGCCCCAGCGAGAGAUAAUCA